RNAcentral lists this ribosomal RNA (775 nucleotides) under uncultured Bacteroidota bacterium. Its description in RNAcentral is "bacterial SSU rRNA". It matches the Rfam family "Bacterial small subunit ribosomal RNA", at positions 566 to 1341 of the family's 1533-position model. Lineage: Bacteria; Pseudomonadati; Bacteroidota. The record is from RNAcentral.
GGUGCGUAGGCGGGUUUGUAAGUCAGUGGUGAAAUCCCCGAGCUUAACUUGGGAACCGCCAUUGAUACUGCAAGUCUUGAAUUUUCUGGAGGUAAGCGGAAUAUGUCAUGUAGCGGUGAAAUGCUUAGAUAUGACAUAGAACACCCAUUGCGAAGGCAGCUUACUACGGGAAUAUUGACGCUGAGGCACGAAAGCGUGGGGAUCAAACAGGAUUAGAUACCCUGGUAGUCCACGCCCUAAACGAUGAUUACUCGACAUUAGCGAUAUUACAGUUAGUGUCUAAGCGAAAGCAUUAAGUAAUCCACCUGGGAAGUACGACCGCAAGGUUGAAACUCAAAGGAAUUGGCGGGGGUCCGCACAAGUGGUGGAGCAUGUGGUUUAAUUCGAUGAUACGCGAGGAACCUUACCUGGGCUAGAAUGCUGGGAGAUCGAUGGUGAAAGCCAUCUUUGUAGCAAUACACUGCCAGUAAGGUGCUGCAUGGCUGUCGUCAGCUCGUGCCGUGAGGUGUCGGGUUAAGUCCCGCAACGAGCGCAACCCCUAUCUUUAGUUGCCAUCAGGUAAUGCUGGGAACUCUAAAGAAACUGCCGUCGUAAGGCGUGAGGAAGGAGGGGAUGAUGUCAAGUCAUCAUGGCCUUUAUGCCCAGGGCUACACACGUGCUACAAUGGGGCGUACAAAGGGCUGCAACAUAGUGACAUGAAGCUAAUCCCAAAAAACGCCUCUCAGUUCAGAUUGAAGUCUGCAACUCGACUUCAUGAAGCUGGAAUCGCUAGUAA